CAGAACUAUCCUAUUUCUAUUCCUGUAAAAUUGUUGUAAAAUUAGCAUGGCCCCUGUGCAAGAAUGACACGCAAAUUCAUAAAGUGUUCCAUAUUGUU
This is a small nuclear RNA of Callithrix jacchus (white-tufted-ear marmoset), 98 nucleotides long. Lineage: Eukaryota; Metazoa; Chordata; Mammalia; Primates; Cebidae. The record is from Ensembl.